RNAcentral lists this ribosomal RNA (797 nucleotides) under Ischnocnema oea (Espirito Santo robber frog). Its description in RNAcentral is "partial 16S ribosomal RNA". The stretch from base 192 to 625 matches the Rfam family "Bacterial large subunit ribosomal RNA", at positions 619 to 1301 of the family's 2925-position model. Lineage: Eukaryota; Metazoa; Chordata; Amphibia; Anura; Brachycephalidae. The record is from RNAcentral.
GCUAAACAUUUAGCCUAAACUUUUUAUUCACGCUCAACACCCCAUUAAAAUAUUUUAACAUUUUAGUAGAGACGACCAAAAAACUAAUAAGAGCUAUACUAAAGUACCGCAAGGGAAAAAUGAAAUAGUAAUGAAACACUAAAAAAAGCAUAAAAAAGUAAAGAUAAUAACUUGUACCUUUUGCAUCAUGGUUUAACUAGUAUAAUCGAGCAAAAGGAUUCUUAGUUUGACUCCCCGAAACUGAAUGAGCUACUUCAGGGCAGCUUUCUGAGCUAACCCGUCCCUGUUGCAAAAUGGUGGGGAGACCCUGCAGUAGCGGUGAUAUGCCUAACGAAUUCAGUAAUAGCUGGUUACUCGGAAAAAGAAUUUUAGUCCAACCUAAAGUUACCUAAUAAAAUGAACUACUUACUUUAGAGCAAUUCAAAUAAGGUACAGCCUAUUUGACACAGGACACAACCUCUAAUAACGGCUAACUCACAUUAAACUUAAAUUAAGUGGGCCUAAAAGCAGCCACCUUUAAAGGGCGUCAAAGCCUAAUUUUUGUUUUAUCCAAUCCCAAAACCCAUAAAGAACCCUUCAUCAAUACUGAGUACUUCUAUAUCUUUAUAGAAAUUUUUAUGUUAAAACUAGUAACAAGAAAACAUUUCUCUUAAAAUGCAAGUAUAAAUCAGAACGGACCCCCCCCCACUGAUAGUUACACCUAACAACAGCAACCCACACCCUCGAAAAUCCUGCUUCUUCAACCGUUAACCUAACACAAGAGCAUUUCAAGAAAGAUUUUAAAAAAAAGAAGGAAC